GUCUUUUUGAAUUAAUAAUUUAAAGUCUAAUCUGCCCACUGAUAAUAUAUUAAAGGGCUGCAGUAUUUUGACUGUACAAAGGUAGCAUAAUCAUUAGUCUCUUAAUUGGUGACUUGUAUGAAAGAUUUAAUGAGAUAUAUACUGUCUCUUUUUAAUUUGUAGAAUUUAAUUUUUUAGUUAAAAAGCUAAAAUUUAUUUAAAAGACGAGAAGACCCUAUAGAGUUUUAUAUUUAAAUUAUAUUAAAAUUUUUUGUAAAAUUUAUUAUUUUAAUAUAUAUAUAAAUAUUUUGUUGGGGUGAUAAAAAAAUUAAAAUAACUUUUUUUAUAAUUUUACAUUAAUAAAUGAAUAAAUGAUCCGUAAUUUACGAUUAUAAGAAAAAAUUACCUUAGGGAUAACAGCGUAAUUUUUUUUUUUAGUUCUAAUAAGAAAAAGAGUUUGCGACCUCGAUGUUGGAUUAAGAUAAAAUUUAAAUGCAAAAGUUUAAAAUUUUUGAUCUGUUCGAUCAUUAAAAUCUUACA
Molecule: ribosomal RNA, 519 nt
Filed under: Parnassius orleans groumi
Lineage: Eukaryota; Metazoa; Arthropoda; Insecta; Lepidoptera; Papilionidae
Description: partial 16S rRNA
Rfam family: Bacterial large subunit ribosomal RNA (bases 392-519)
Source: RNAcentral